GAGUUUGAUCUUGGCUCAGGACGAACGCUGGCGGCGUGCUUAACACAUGCAAGUCGAACGAGAAUCUACUGAAAGAGUUUUCGGACAAUGGAAGUAGAGGAAAGUGGCGGACGGGUGAGUAACGCGUGAGGAACCUGCCUUGAAGAGGGGACAACAGUUGGAAACGACUGCUAAUACCGCAUGAUGCAUAAGGGUCGCAUGAUUCUUAUGCCAAAGAUUUAUCGCUUCAAGAUGGCCUCGCGUCUGAUUAGCUAGUUGGCGGGGUAACGGCCCACCAAGGCGACGAUCAGUAGCCGGACUGAGAGGUUGAACGGCCACAUUGGGACUGAGAUACGGCCCAGACUCCUACGGGAGGCAGCAGUGGGGAGUAUUGGGCAAUGGGCGCAAGCCUGACCCAGCAACGCCGCGUGAAGGAAGAAGGCUUUCGGUAUGUAAACUUCUAUCAGCAGGGAAGAAAUGACGGUACCUGACUAGAAGCCCGGCUACUACGUGCCAGCCGCCGCGGUA
This 507-nucleotide ribosomal RNA is filed under the name uncultured microorganism. RNAcentral describes it as "bacterial SSU rRNA". It matches the Rfam family "Bacterial small subunit ribosomal RNA", at positions 9 to 522 of the family's 1533-position model. The record is from RNAcentral.